This 413-nucleotide ribosomal RNA is filed under the name uncultured Candidatus Saccharibacteria bacterium. Its description in RNAcentral is "bacterial SSU rRNA". It matches the Rfam family "Bacterial small subunit ribosomal RNA", at positions 958 to 1385 of the family's 1533-position model. The record is from RNAcentral. Lineage: Bacteria; Candidatus Saccharimonadota.
AACGCGAAGAACCUUACCAGGGUUUGACAUCCCGAGAAUCUUUCCGAAAGGAGAGAGUGCCGCAAGGAGCUCGGUGACAGGUGAUGCAUGGCCGUCGUCAGCUCGUGUCGUGAGAUGUUUGGUUAAGUCCAUUAACGAGCGCAACCCCUUUGCUUAGUUGAAUUUUUCUAGGCAGACUGCCCCGGUAACGGGGAGGAAGGAGGGGAUGAUGUCAGGUCAGUAUUUCCCUUACACCCUGGGCUAGAAACACGCUACAAUGGCCGGUACAAAGGGCAGCCAAGUCGCGAGACGGAGCAAAUCCCAUCAAAACCGGUCCAAGUUCGGAUUGUAGGCUGAAACUCGCCUGCAUGAAGCUGGAAUCGCUAGUAAUGGUAGGUCAGCACACUACCGUGAAUACGUUCCCGGGCCUUGUA